Molecule: ribosomal RNA, 253 nt
Filed under: uncultured bacterium
Lineage: Bacteria
Description: partial 16S ribosomal RNA
Rfam family: Bacterial small subunit ribosomal RNA
Source: RNAcentral
GACGGAGGGAGCAAGCGUUGCUCGGAAUAAUUGGGCGUAAAGGGUGCGUAGGCGGUUUUUUAAGUGAGAUGUUAAAGACCCGGACUUAACCUGGGAGCUGCAUUUCAUACUGAAAGACUCGAGUGUGGGAGAGGAAACAGGAAUUCCUCAUGUAGAGGUGAAAUUCGUAGAUAUGAGGAGGAACACCAGAGGCGAAGGCGAGUUUCUGGAACACAACUGACGCUGAGGCACGAAAGCGUGGGGAGCAAACAGG